Molecule: ribosomal RNA, 2901 nt
Filed under: Escherichia coli
Lineage: Bacteria; Pseudomonadati; Pseudomonadota; Gammaproteobacteria; Enterobacterales; Enterobacteriaceae
Description: 23S ribosomal RNA
Rfam family: Bacterial large subunit ribosomal RNA
Source: RNAcentral
UUAAGCGACUAAGCGUACACGGUGGAUGCCCUGGCAGUCAGAGGCGAUGAAGGACGUGCUAAUCUGCGAUAAGCGUCGGUAAGGUGAUAUGAACCGUUAUAACCGGCGAUUUCCGAAUGGGGAAACCCAGUGUGUUUCGACACACUAUCAUUAACUGAAUCCAUAGGUUAAUGAGGCGAACCGGGGGAACUGAAACAUCUAAGUACCCCGAGGAAAAGAAAUCAACCGAGAUUCCCCCAGUAGCGGCGAGCGAACGGGGAGCAGCCCAGAGCCUGAAUCAGUGUGUGUGUUAGUGGAAGCGUCUGGAAAGGCGCGCGAUACAGGGUGACAGCCCCGUACACAAAAAUGCACAUAUUGUGAGCUCGAUGAGUAGGGCGGGACACGUGGUAUCCUGUCUGAAUAUGGGGGGACCAUCCUCCAAGGCUAAAUACUCCUGACUGACCGAUAGUGAACCAGUACCGUGAGGGAAAGGCGAAAAGAACCCCGGCGAGGGGAGUGAAAAAGAACCUGAAACCGUGUACGUACAAGCAGUGGGAGCCUCUUUUAUGGGGUGACUGCGUACCUUUUGUAUAAUGGGUCAGCGACUUAUAUUCUGUAGCAAGGUUAACCGAAUAGGGGAGCCGAAGGGAAACCGAGUCUUAACUGGGCGUUAAGUUGCAGGGUAUAGACCCGAAACCCGGUGAUCUAGCCAUGGGCAGGUUGAAGGUUGGGUAACACUAACUGGAGGACCGAACCGACUAAUGUUGAAAAAUUAGCGGAUGACUUGUGGCUGGGGGUGAAAGGCCAAUCAAACCGGGAGAUAGCUGGUUCUCCCCGAAAGCUAUUUAGGUAGCGCCUCGUGAAUUCAUCUCCGGGGGUAGAGCACUGUUUCGGCAAGGGGGUCAUCCCGACUUACCAACCCGAUGCAAACUGCGAAUACCGGAGAAUGUUAUCACGGGAGACACACGGCGGGUGCUAACGUCCGUCGUGAAGAGGGAAACAACCCAGACCGCCAGCUAAGGUCCCAAAGUCAUGGUUAAGUGGGAAACGAUGUGGGAAGGCCCAGACAGCCAGGAUGUUGGCUUAGAAGCAGCCAUCAUUUAAAGAAAGCGUAAUAGCUCACUGGUCGAGUCGGCCUGCGCGGAAGAUGUAACGGGGCUAAACCAUGCACCGAAGCUGCGGCAGCGACACUAUGUGUUGUUGGGUAGGGGAGCGUUCUGUAAGCCUGUGAAGGUGUACUGUGAGGUAUGCUGGAGGUAUCAGAAGUGCGAAUGCUGACAUAAGUAACGAUAAAGCGGGUGAAAAGCCCGCUCGCCGGAAGACCAAGGGUUCCUGUCCAACGUUAAUCGGGGCAGGGUGAGUCGACCCCUAAGGCGAGGCCGAAAGGCGUAGUCGAUGGGAAACAGGUUAAUAUUCCUGUACUUGGUGUUACUGCGAAGGGGGGACGGAGAAGGCUAUGUUGGCCGGGCGACGGUUGUCCCGGUUUAAGCGUGUAGGCUGGUUUUCCAGGCAAAUCCGGAAAAUCAAGGCUGAGGCGUGAUGACGAGGCACUACGGUGCUGAAGCAACAAAUGCCCUGCUUCCAGGAAAAGCCUCUAAGCAUCAGGUAACAUCAAAUCGUACCCCAAACCGACACAGGUGGUCAGGUAGAGAAUACCAAGGCGCUUGAGAGAACUCGGGUGAAGGAACUAGGCAAAAUGGUGCCGUAACUUCGGGAGAAGGCACGCUGAUAUGUAGGUGAAGUCCCUCGCGGAUGGAGCUGAAAUCAGUCGAAGAUACCAGCUGGCUGCAACUGUUUAUUAAAAACACAGCACUGUGCAAACACGAAAGUGGACGUAUACGGUGUGACGCCUGCCCGGUGCCGGAAGGUUAAUUGAUGGGGUUAGCGCAAGCGAAGCUCUUGAUCGAAGCCCCGGUAAACGGCGGCCGUAACUAUAACGGUCCUAAGGUAGCGAAAUUCCUUGUCGGGUAAGUUCCGACCUGCACGAAUGGCGUAAUGAUGGCCAGGCUGUCUCCACCCGAGACUCAGUGAAAUUGAACUCGCUGUGAAGAUGCAGUGUACCCGCGGCAAGACGGAAAGACCCCGUGAACCUUUACUAUAGCUUGACACUGAACAUUGAGCCUUGAUGUGUAGGAUAGGUGGGAGGCUUAGAAGUGUGGACGCCAGUCUGCAUGGAGCCGACCUUGAAAUACCACCCUUUAAUGUUUGAUGUUCUAACGUUGACCCGUGAUCCGGGUUGCGGACAGUGUCUGGUGGGUAGUUUGACUGGGGCGGUCUCCUCCUAAAGAGUAACGGAGGAGCACGAAGGUUGGCUAAUCCUGGUCGGACAUCAGGAGGUUAGUGCAAUGGCAUAAGCCAGCUUGACUGCGAGCGUGACGGCGCGAGCAGGUGCGAAAGCAGGUCAUAGUGAUCCGGUGGUUCUGAAUGGAAGGGCCAUCGCUCAACGGAUAAAAGGUACUCCGGGGAUAACAGGCUGAUACCGCCCAAGAGUUCAUAUCGACGGCGGUGUUUGGCACCUCGAUGUCGGCUCAUCACAUCCUGGGGCUGAAGUAGGUCCCAAGGGUAUGGCUGUUCGCCAUUUAAAGUGGUACGCGAGCUGGGUUUAGAACGUCGUGAGACAGUUCGGUCCCUAUCUGCCGUGGGCGCUGGAGAACUGAGGGGGGCUGCUCCUAGUACGAGAGGACCGGAGUGGACGCAUCACUGGUGUUCGGGUUGUCAUGCCAAUGGCACUGCCCGGUAGCUAAAUGCGGAAGAGAUAAGUGCUGAAAGCAUCUAAGCACGAAACUUGCCCCGAGAUGAGUUCUCCCUGACCCUUUAAGGGUCCUGAAGGAACGUUGAAGACGACGACGUUGAUAGGCCGGGUGUGUAAGCGCAGCGAUGCGUUGAGCUAACCGGUACUAAUGAACCGUGAGGCUUAACCUU